GACGAACGCUGGCGGCGUGCCUAAUACAUGCAAGUCGAACGCUGAAGAGAGGAGCUUGCUCUUCUUGGAUGAGUUGCGAACGGGUGAGUAACGCGUAGGUAACCUGCCUUGUAGCGGGGGAUAACUAUUGGAAACGAUAGCUAAUACCGCAUAACAAUGGAUGACACAUGUCAUUUAUUUGAAAGGGGCAAUUGCUCCACUACAAGAUGGACCUGCGUUGUAUUAGCUAGUAGGUGAGGUAAUGGCUCACCUAGGCGACGAUACAUAGCCGGCCUGAGAGGGUGGAUCGGCAAACCGGGACUGGGACACGGCCCAGACUCCUAAGGGAGGGAGCAGUAGGGAAACCUUCGGCAUGGGGGCAAACCUGAACGGGCCACCGCGGCUGGGGGAAGGAGGUUUUCGGGUCGUAAAGGCUCGUUGUAAGUCAAGAACCGGUGUGAGAGUGGAAAGUUCACAAUGUGAAGGUAGCUUAACAGAAAGGGACGGCUAAAUAAGUG
This 497-nucleotide ribosomal RNA is filed under the name uncultured bacterium. RNAcentral's name for it is "partial 16S ribosomal RNA". It matches the Rfam family "Bacterial small subunit ribosomal RNA", at positions 28 to 507 of the family's 1533-position model. The record is from RNAcentral.